This 66-nucleotide small RNA is filed under the name Xanthomonas fragariae. RNAcentral's name for it is "sX9 sRNA". It matches the Rfam family "Xanthomonas sRNA sX9". Lineage: Bacteria; Pseudomonadati; Pseudomonadota; Gammaproteobacteria; Lysobacterales; Lysobacteraceae. The record is from RNAcentral.
AUGUGCCACGCGUGCACUGCGUGCCUCCGCGCCGACCUGGCGACUGCUCGCUACAUUUUGGUAGAC